RNAcentral lists this ribosomal RNA (547 nucleotides) under uncultured archaeon. RNAcentral describes it as "bacterial SSU rRNA". It matches the Rfam family "Archaeal small subunit ribosomal RNA", at positions 102 to 652 of the family's 1478-position model. The record is from RNAcentral.
AGUCAACAUGCCCAGGGGACGUGGAUAACCUCGGGAAACUGAGGAUAAACCGCGACAGGCCAUGAUUUCUGGAAUGGUUCAUGGCCGAAAUCUAUAUGGCCCCUGGAUUGGACUGCGGCCGAUCAGGCUGUUGGUGAGGUAAUGGCCCACCAAACCUGUAACCGGUACGGGCUCUGAGAGGAGGAGCCCGGAGAUGGGUACUGAGACAAGGACCCAGGCCCUAUGGGGCGCAGCAGGCGCGAAACCUCUGCAAUAGGCGAAAGCCUGACAGGGUUAUUCUGAGUGACUUUCGCUAAGAAAGUCUUUUGACACCUCUAAAAAUGGUGCAGAAUAAGGGGUGGGCAAGUCUGGUGUCAGCCGCCGCGGUAAUACCAGCACCCCGAGUGGUCGGGACGAUUAUUGGGCCUAAAGCAUCCGUAGCCGGUUUUACAAGUCCUCCGUUAAAUCCAACUGCUUAACAGAUGGGCCGCGGAGGAUACUAUAAGACUAGGAGGCAGGAGAGGCAAGCGGUACUCAGUGGGUAGGGGUAAAAUCCCUUGAUCCCUUG